GAAAUGCGAUAAGUAAUGUGAAUUGCAGAAUUCAGUGAAUCAUCGAAUCUUUGAACGCACAUUGCGCCCGCCAGUAUUCUGGCGGGCAUGCCUGUUCGAGCGUCAUUUCAACCAUCAAGCCCCCGGGCUUGUGUUGGGGACCUGCGGCUGCAGCAGGCCCCGAAAACCAGUGGCGGGCUCGCUGUCACACCGGGCGUAGUAGAUUUUUCGUCUCGCCCAGGGCGUGCUGCGGGUUCCGGCCGUUAAAAAGCCUCUCUUUUUAACCCAAGGUUGACCUCGGAUCAGGUAGGAAGACCCGCUGAACUUAAGC
Molecule: unclassified non-coding RNA, 310 nt
Filed under: plant metagenome
Description: partial contains 5.8S ribosomal RNA, internal transcribed spacer 2, and large subunit ribosomal RNA
Rfam family: 5.8S ribosomal RNA (bases 1-105)
Source: RNAcentral